AUUGAACGCUGGCGGCAGGCUUAACACAUGCAAGUCGAGCGGUAACAGGAGAAGCUUGCUUCUCGCUGACGAGCGGCGGACGGGUGAGUAAUACUUAGGAAUCUACCUAGUAGUGGGGGAUAGCUCGGGGAAACUCGAAUUAAUACCGCAUACGACCUACGGGAGAAAGGGGGCAACUUGUUGCUCUCGCUAUUAGAUGAGCCUAAGUCGGAUUAGCUAGAUGGUGGGGUAAAGGCCUACCAUGGCGACGAUCUGUAGCUGGUCUGAGAGGAUGAUCAGCCACACCGGGACUGAGACACGGCCCGGACUCCUACGGGAGGCAGCAGUGGGGAAUAUUGGACAAUGGGGGCAACCCUGAUCCAGCCAUGCCGCGUGUGUGAAGAAGGCCUUUUGGUUGUAAAGCACUUUAAGCAGUGAAGAAGACUCCAUGGUUAAUACCCAUGGACGAUGACAUUAGCUGCAGAAUAAGCACCGGCUAACUCUGUG
This 486-nucleotide ribosomal RNA is filed under the name uncultured bacterium. RNAcentral's name for it is "partial 16S ribosomal RNA". It matches the Rfam family "Bacterial small subunit ribosomal RNA", at positions 30 to 507 of the family's 1533-position model. The record is from RNAcentral.